Molecule: RNA transcript, 6292 nt
Organism: Nannospalax galili (Upper Galilee mountains blind mole rat)
Lineage: Eukaryota; Metazoa; Chordata; Mammalia; Rodentia; Spalacidae
Gene: Erc2
Gene name: ELKS/RAB6-interacting/CAST family member 2
Exons: 19
Source: RefSeq, a predicted model, not a curated record
ACGGCCGCCGCUGCCCGCGCGCCGCUGCUCCGCCUCGCGCUCCGCUCCGCUCCGGCUGCUCCGGGCCGAGGCGCGGCGGGGCGGUGAAGACCCAUGUGGGCCGCGCCCGCGAGCAUCGUAGAGAUCUCUGAUUGAAGCUGUUUCCUGGUGCAGACUGUGCUAAGAAUGCAGUGACAUUUCCGGCCAGCGGCAGAAAUACUGCUCAAACCCUGACUGAGUAGCAUUUCUUCUUUCAGUGGUACCGCCUCACAGAAGAAAGAUGUAUGGAAGUGCAAGAACAAUCAGCAAUCUGGAAGGUAGCCCUUCCAGAUCCCCUCGUUUGCCAAGAUCGCCUCGUUUGGGUCACCGAAGAACAAGUAGUGGGGGAGGGGGAGGAACAGGCAAGACUCUGUCUAUGGAGAAUAUCCAGUCCCUUAAUGCAGCCUAUGCUACGUCUGGACCCAUGUACUUGAGUGAUCAUGAGGGGGUGGCAUCAACAACUUACCCAAAGGGCACCAUGACUUUGGGCAGGGCCACAAAUCGAGCUGUGUAUGGAGGCCGAGUCACAGCCAUGGGGAGCAGUCCCAAUAUUGCUUCGGCAGGACUUUCCCACACAGAUGUCCUUUCAUACACGGAUCAACAUGGGCUGAGUGGCUCAUCCCAUCACCACCAUCACCAGGUGCCCUCCAUGUUGAGGCAGGUAAGGGACAGCACAAUGUUAGAUCUUCAGGCCCAGCUCAAGGAACUGCAACGAGAGAAUGAUCUUCUACGGAAAGAACUCGACAUUAAGGACAGCAAACUGGGGUCCUCCAUGAACAGCAUCAAGACUUUCUGGAGUCCCGAGCUGAAGAAGGAGAGGGUCUUGAGGAAAGAAGAGGCAGCUCGGAUGUCUGUCCUCAAGGAGCAGAUGAGGGUUUCUCAUGAAGAAAACCAGCACCUGCAGUUGACCAUCCAGGCCCUUCAGGACGAGCUGCGGACCCAGAGAGACCUCAACCACCUCCUGCAGCAGGAGAGCGGCAACCGUGGCGCCGAGCACUUCACCAUUGAGCUGACGGAGGAGAACUUCCGCAGGCUGCAAGCCGAGCACGACAGGCAGGCCAAGGAACUGUUCCUCCUGAGGAAGACGUUGGAGGAGAUGGAGCUGAGGAUUGAAACGCAGAAGCAGACCCUCAAUGCCCGGGAUGAGUCGAUUAAAAAGCUCCUGGAGAUGCUGCAGAGCAAAGGGUUGCCAUCCAAAAGCCUGGAGGACGACAACGAGCGCACGCGCCGCAUGGCCGAGGCCGAGUCUCAGGUCAGCCACUUGGAGGUGAUCUUAGACCAGAAGGAGAAGGAGAACAUCCACCUGAGGGAGGAACUGCACCGAAGAAGCCAACUCCAGCCGGAGCCAGCCAAGACGAAGGCUCUCCAGACUGUCAUUGAAAUGAAGGACACAAAAAUCGCUUCAUUGGAGCGAAACAUACGGGAUCUUGAGGAUGAGAUCCAGAUGUUGAAGGCCAAUGGUGUGCUCAACACUGAGGACCGUGAGGAAGAGAUCAAACAGAUUGAGGUGUACAAGAGUCACUCCAAGUUUAUGAAGACCAAGAUUGAUCAACUGAAACAGGAACUUUCAAAGAAGGAAUCAGAACUUCUUGCCUUACAAACAAAGCUUGAAACCCUUAGCAAUCAAAAUUCAGACUGCAAGCAACACAUUGAAGUGCUUAAGGAGUCACUUACCGCCAAGGAGCAGAGAGCUGCCAUCCUGCAGACAGAGGUAGAUGCUCUGAGAUUACGGCUGGAAGAGAAAGAAUCCUUUCUCAAUAAGAAAACAAAACAGUUGCAAGACCUCACAGAAGAGAAGGGGACCCUCGCUGGAGAGAUUCGAGACAUGAAAGAUAUGUUAGAAGUGAAGGAAAGGAAAAUCAAUGUUCUGCAGAAAAAGAUUGAAAACUUGCAAGAACAACUUAGAGAUAAGGACAAGCAGCUGACCAACCUGAAAGACAGAGUGAAGUCCUUACAGACAGAUUCCAGCAACACAGACACCGCUUUGGCCACGCUGGAGGAGGCCUUGUCAGAAAAGGAGAGAAUAAUUGAACGCUUGAAAGAGCAGCGGGAGAGAGACGAUCGGGAGAGAUUAGAAGAGAUAGAAUCCUUUCGGAAAGAGAACAAAGAACUCAAAGAGAAGGUGAAUGCUUUACAAGCGGAGCUGACCGAGAAAGAGUCUAGUUUAAUUGACCUCAAAGAACAUGCAUCUUCAUUAGCCUCUGCAGGACUGAAAAGGGACUCCAAAUUAAAAUCUCUAGAAAUAGCCAUUGAACAGAAGAAAGAGGAAUGCAGCAAAUUGGAGGCACAGUUAAAAAAGGCUCAUAAUAUUGAAGAUGACUCCAGGAUGAACCCUGAGUUUGCAGACCGACUGAAGCAGCUUGAUAAGGAUGCAUCUUACUACCGCGACGAGUGUGGCAAGGCCCAAGCAGAAGUGGAUAGGUUGCUGGAGAUCCUCAGAGAGGUGGAGAAUGAGAAGAAUGACAAAGACAAGAAGAUCGCAGAGCUCGAGAGCUUGACUCUCAGGCAUAUGAAGGAUCAGAAUAAGAAGGUGGCCAACCUCAAGCACAAUCAACAGCUGGAAAAGAAGAAGAAUGCCCAGUUAUUAGAAGAAGUCCGCAGGCGAGAGGAUAGCAUGGCCGACAACUCACAGCAUCUGCAGAUAGAGGAGCUGAUGAAUGCCUUGGAAAAGACCAGACAGGAGCUGGAUGCCACCAAAGCACGCCUUGCCUCUACCCAGCAGUCUCUGGCUGAAAAAGAAGCACACCUGGCCAACCUCCGGAUAGAGAGGAGGAAACAGCUGGAGGAGAUCCUGGAGAUGAAACAGGAAGCACUACUGGCGGCAAUCAGUGAAAAAGAUGCAAACAUUGCCUUGUUGGAAUUAUCUGCCUCCAAAAAGAAAAAGACCCAGGAAGAAGUCAUGGCUCUCAAGCGGGAGAAAGACCGACUAGUGCACCAGUUAAAGCAGCAGACGCAGAACAGAAUGAAACUGAUGGCAGACAGCUAUGAUGAAGACCAUCACCAUUACCACCACCACCACCACCACCACCACCACCGAUCUCCUGGGAGGUCACAGCAUUCCAACCACAGGCCCUCUCCAGACCAGGAUGACGAGGAGGGCAUAUGGGCAUAGCCGGGCCUGUAAACCAAAGUUCCAGUUUUGUUUUGAGGGAUGAUCCAGCUCUGUCGGAGGCACGUAGGCACAGACAAAUCUCAUGCAGUACAUUGAUCACCUGUCCAACCUUUGCCUAGAGUGGGAGCCCCCAGUUCCUUCAAGAGAUCCAACUUUACCUGUCUGUAAAGAAGAAGAGGAGGAGGGAGACAGCGGGGAGGAUCCGGUGGCAGUGUAACACCAGAGCAGCUGUCAGAAGGGCUGACGGAAAGGAAAGCACAGCUCUGCGCCGAUACUCUGCUAAUCUAUUGCAGCACGCCUCUCCUCACUGUCCACCGCCACCAGGAGCCGCACGUUGGCAUCGAAGAGGAAUUUGCUCUUUCAUGUCCCUGUGUGAUCCUGCUCAACUUGGUGUUCCCGUCCUCUUUUCUCCUGGAUUUGGAUGUAAUGGGAAGGAAGACUAUGAAGGGGGAGAAAAUCAGCUCCUUCAUUUUCUGUUGGGAUUUGAGGCAUUUAAAGAUGACCCUCUCUUUGGGGUGCCAUGAUGUGAUGAGUUUCAUUUCUGUUACUUAACCUCCUUGGAUACAUUAUACUCUACGGGAUUCAGACUGUGGAUUCAGCUUCUGUUGGACAACUAGAUUCAUCUGGGAUCAUUCCACCUCUCAGGCCACGUGGUCAUUCCUAAUGCAUUAGAUUAUCAAAUGGUCGCAGUUUGCUGUGAGUGGUGCUGGUGGUGUUCCUAUGCCACGAUGUAUGAAUUGUUUGACAUAGAUACCAAAACACCAAAAAUUGUGAGCCUUUACCCUCCUCUAUUUCUUUGAUCUGCUGUUCGAAGAACCACAUUUUGAUGGUAUAACCAGUAGUUACCUCUGGGCCAGGUUGGAAAUGAAAUCAAUUUUUAAAACCACUAAUAACUUGCCAAGAAAUCGCCUUAUGAGAACAUGGUGUGUGUCUCUGACAAUGCAUGGCACAUUUAAAUUGAUCAUUCAUAAUUUUAUUGUUCUGCUCCCGUACCAAAGAGUGAUAAAAGCCUGAGGCAUCUGCACAUUCACCCCACGAGCUCUGGGUACUCCCAUGGCUGGGAUGUGACCCAGCCUCAGGCUUUUCUCAUUUGGGUACAUGCAGGUCUCCACAAAGAUGCUGGGAAGUCAUUUAUGUUCCAAGAUCCAAAUGCUGUGCAAACAGUAUGAGUGUAGGUCUUCUGCAAACGAAGGGUUGUUUCUCAUUUUAUUUUUCAUUUAAAGGAAAUGUCUCUAACAUGGAUUCCAAAGCAUUUUCAGCAUCAAACACGAAAACAUUGAUGAAUGAAGAACAGUCACAAAGCCGUGUAUCUGUAAAUAGCUCUACACAACCUGUCUGUGGAUACAGAGUCAUUAUUUAAAGCACAUGCCAGGGAAAGAGACCAUUUUCCAGGUCUUUCACAUACAGUGACAUGGUACUAAGGAGAAUUAAACUCCUGCUGCUUCCUCUGAAGAUUAAAAAUAAUUAAAAUCAUUAUAACUUCAUGAAAACUCAUGACUGAGUCUGGCAAACAUGUGCACUCUUGUAUUGACCCAUUUUCUUAUCAGUGGAAGAAACCCUUCCAUGUGUAUGCAAGUGGGAGAUAAAAACCUGCAUUUUUAAAGGACAAACAGUGAAUUUAAGCAUGAGUGGCCUUAAUAAAUAUAGUUGUCUUUCUUUGCUGCUGUGGAAAGGAUUCUAAGCAGAAGUUCCUGAAGUCUUGCAUUGAAUCUAGUCGUUAUUACUACUUUUUGAAAUGUUGGUGCAAUUAACUCUGGACCUCUCUUGUGAGCCAUAGAGAUAUUUACAAGACAAACCCCUUAUUUGCUGAUGAAGGGAAGCUGCCUCUGAGCUGCACCGUUAAUUCUCGGUGCAUCAGGAGUCAGACGUUCCAGUGGGUUUCUUGCUUCUGGCUUUGUUCUUGUUGUCAGUAAGUAGCGAACUAUGUAAAGCUUACGUGUUGCAUAAAUGAUCCAAAUACAUUCAUUUUUCCAAAGUCUGUCUUUAACUAUCAAAGGGAUCUAGGUAUUUGUCGGAGGAGCGAGCAGAGUUCUUUGCAAGUUUAUUUACUACAUUUUGGCAGUGUUUCGCUGAAAACCCAAGCCACAGACCCGUCCCCAUGUGUGGUAUGGGUGUCCUCAAAGAGGAAGUCCUCAUGGCCUUUUACCACCCAGGCCCUGACCUGAAGUCUGCAACUGAAUACUUGAAGUAGGAGACCCAACAGGGAAAAUAGGGUCCUUGAAGUAGAAAACAAAGCAACCAACCGUGUAUAGUCAGCUGUUUCUACAUAUGUGCCAAUUUUGUCACAGAUAUUAUUUGGGGAAUCCAUUUCGCCCCUUUUAUUGUUGGUUAAAAGUAUUACUGAUCUUUUAUGCAAGCAUAUCAUUUAGUCCCUGAAAACUGAAUUCUAUCUAAUACAGCAUCUUUUUCCAUUUCACAUAAUAUUCUCUGAUGUUUGGGGAUUACCGAAAAGAAAUCCCUUUCCACACAUUGAAAAUAGUCUCUGGUUUACAACAAACACUGUGAUGUUUGGAAGAUAUUUCCUUUGCGCAAACUUUAGCAAGUUCCCUUCUAAUCAUAGUGUAGUUGAAAAAAAUAAAGUUUGGGCUGACAUUUCGGAGAAGUUGGUCUAAGUCUUACUUUGUGCAAAAGCAGGCUUGCAUUUAUACCCCAUUUGAUUUCUAUGUACAGUCUCAAUUUUGUAUUGAAUGAUUUUUUGUGUAUUCGGUAUGCACGUUCACAGCGUGUCAACUUCCAUUUGAAAGUGGGUUUUACCUUUUAAACAGUGUUUAUGAUGAGACCUCAAAUGUGUUGACAUAAAUUGUACCUUCAGUGUUUUUGUGUAGAGUGGUGUUUGAAUGCUGCCAGGGCUCUGUGUAUCCAGUUCCCUGAGACCCCUGUUUGAUAGAGCUUCUUGUAAUAUUUCUUCAAGUGAGUGGCAUGUAGGUUGUGAUAUUGACCAUGUGAUUAUGGACAUUGAUACGAAAAAAAUAAAUACAUAAAAUUAAGGAACCCUCGAAACUACCAGUGGGCAUGUACUAGCCAGUCCUGUAACCUCGUGUUCAGUAGAAUUACAAUGUACAAGGUAUGUACAGUUCAAAACUUUGUUAUCAUGUGUAUGAGAAGUACUUUGUGCUGUCUUAUUUAUAUUCAUCAAAUAAACCUUGUUUCUUUCUGAAGUGA